CGUGACCCCAGGUCAGGCGGGAUCACCUGCUGAGUUUAUGCAUAUCAAUAAGCGGAGGAAAAGAAACUUACCAGGAUUGCCCUAGUAAUGACGAGCGAAUCGAGAAGAGCCCAGCUUGAAAAUAGGGUGCCCCCGGUGUUCAAAUUGUAGUCUGAAGAAGCAUCCUCAGUGACGGACCUAGCCUAAGUCCCCUGGAAAAGGGCGUCGGAGAGGGUGAGAGGCCCGUUAUGCCCGGACCCUAUCGUUCCAUGAGGCGCUGUCCACGAGUCGGGUUGUUUGGGAUUACAGCCCCAAUCUGUGAUAAAUUUCAUCCAAGGCUGAAUAUAGGUGAGAGAUCGAUAGUGAACAAGUACCGUGAGGGAAAGAUGAAAAGGACUUUGAAAAGAGAGUCAAAGAGUGCUUGAAAUUGUCGAGGAGGGAAGCGGAUAGGGGUCGGUGAUGCACCCCGAUCGGAUGUGGAAUGGCGAGAGCUAGUCCGCCGAUCGGCUCAGGGAGUGGACCAACGCGAGUCACGAUGGCCCAAGCCUGAGCUUUCGAUGUGCCGUGGAGACAUUGUCACCGUGAUUGUGGAAUGCAGCACACAUCAUUUCGAAGUGCCUCAACACCCACGUGCUCCCAACGUCGACCUACGGGCUUUCCAUCCGGCCCACCUUGAAACACGAACCAAAAAGUUUGACAUGCGUGCGAGUCAACGGGCCAAGAAACCCGUAAGGCACAAGAAAGCUAAUUGGUGGGAUACUUCAUGCGUGCACCAUCGAUCGACCUUGAUCUUUUGUGAAGGGUUCGAGUGUGAACAUGCCCGUCGAGACUCGAAAAAUGGUGAACUAUGCCUAAGCGGAGCGAAGCCAGAGGAAACUCUAGUAGAGGCCCAUGACGAUACUGACAUGCAAAUCGUUCGUCUGACUUGGGUAUAGGGGUGAAAGACUAAUCAAACCAUCUAGUAGCUGGUUCCCUCCGAAGUUUCCCUCAGGAUAGCUGAAGCCCCCGACAAGUUCUAUCGGGUAAAGCAAAUGAUUAGAGGCAUCGGGGGCAUAAUGCCCUCAACCUAUUCUCAAACUUUAAAUAGGUAGGACGGCAUGGCUGCUUCGUUAAGCCGCACCACGAAAUCAAGAGCUCCAAGUGGGCCAUUUUUGGUAAGCAAAAUUGGUGAUGCAGGAUGAAUCGAAAGUCGGGUUAUGGUGCCCAACUGCACACUAACCUAAAACCCACAAAGGGUGUUGAUCGAUUAAGACAGCAUGACGGUGGUCAUGGAAGUCGAAAUCCUCUAAGGAGCGUGUAACAACUCACUUGCCGAAUCAACUAGCCUUGAAAAUGGAUGGUGCUUAAGCGCGUGACCUAUACCCGACCCUCGGGGCAAGGGCCGGCCUCGAUGAGUAGGUGGGCACGAUGAUGGUCGUAAAACCUAGGGUACGAGCCCAUGCAGAGUGGCUUUCGAUGCAGAUCUUGGUGGUAGUAGCAAAUAUUCAAAUGAGAACUUUGAAGGUCGAAGAGGGGAAAGGUUCUAUGUGAACGACACUUGCACAUGGGUUAGUCGAUCCUAAGAGUUGGGAAGCCCAUCCGACAGUGUGUCCUACAUGAGCUUCGAAAGGGAAUCGGGUUAAAAUUCCUAAACUAAGACACAACGAUUGACUGCAACGUUAGGGAGUCCGAAGACGUCAACGGGGGCCUCGAGAAGAGUUAUCUUUUCUGUUUAACGGCCCGCCCACCUUGGAAACAGCUCAGUCGAAGGUAGGGUCCAGCGGCCAAAAGAGCACCACAUGCCACGUGGUGUCCGAUGCACCCCCGGUAACCCUUCAAAAUUUGGAGGACCGAGUGUCGUCCAUGCCUGAUCGUACUCAUAACCGCAUUAGGUCUCCAAGGUGAACAGCCUCUGGUCGAUGGAAUAAUGUAGGCAAGGAAAUUCGACAAAAUGGAUCUAUAACCUCGAAAAAAGGAUUGGUUCUAAAAGCUGGGCAUAGGGGUCCCAAUUAUGAACCCGUCAACUGUCGGUGUAUUGCUUGAGCUACUCCCACAAAGAGAGUGGGUAGCCGUAUGCCGGUCGGGGGAUGGACUAGGAAUGGCUCUUUUAGGGGCCUUCCUCGGAUGAUGAACAGUCGACUCAGAAUUUGUACGAACAAGGGGAAUCCAACUGUUUAAUUAAAACAAAGCAAUGCGAUGGUCCCUAUGGAUGCCCACGCAAUGUGAUUUCUGCCCAGUGCUCUGAAUGUCAAAGUGAAGAAAUUCAACCAGGCGUGGGUAAACGGCGGGAGUACUAUGACUCUCUUAAGGUAGCCAAAUGCCUCAUCAUCUAAUUACUGACGUGCAUGAAUGGAUUAACGAGAUUCCCACUGUCCAUGUCUACUAUCCAACGAAACCACAACCAAGGGAAUAGGCUUAGCAGAAUCAGCGGGGAAAAAAGACCCCGUUGAGCUUGACUCUAGUUCAACUUUGUGAAAUGACUUGAAAGGUGUAGGAUAAGUGGGAGCCCCCAGGCAAAAUUGAAAUAUCAUUACUUUUAACGUUAUUUUACUUAUUUCAUGAAUCAAAGAUAGGGCACGACCCUUCUUUUGGACCCAAGGUCAGCAUCAGUCGAUCAAUCCGGAUGGAAGACAUUGUUAGGUGGAGAGUUUGGCUAGGGCAACACAUCUGUUAAAAGAUAACGUAGGUGUCCUAAGAUGAGCUCAACGAGAAUAGAAAUGUCAUGUGGAAUAAAAGGGUAAAAGCUCAUUUGAUUUUGAUUUCCAAAAUGAAUAUGAACCAUGAAAGCGUGGUCUAUUGAUCCUCUAUACCUUCAGGAUUUGAAGCUAAAGGUGUAAAAAAAGUUACCAUAGGAUAACUGGCUUGUGGCAACCAAGUGUUCAUAGCGACAUUGCUUUUUGAUCCUUCAAUGUUGGCUCUUCCUAUCAUUGUGAAGCAGAAUUCACCAAGUGUUGGAUUGUUCACCCAUCAAUAGGGAACGUGAGCUGGGUUUAGACCAUUGUGAGACAAGUUAGUUUUACCCUAAUGAUGGCAACGGCACGAUAGUAAUUCAACCUAGUAUGAGAGGAACCGUUGAUUCGAAUAAUUGAUCAUCGUGCUUGGUUGAAAAGCCAGUGGCACGAAGCUACUGUGCGUUGGAUUAUAACUGAACACCUCUAAGUCAAAAUCUGAGCUAAAAGUGACGCACAUGCGUGUCGCUCAAUUGCCGACCCAUAGUAGGGGCCCAUAGCCCCCAAGGGCACAUGUCGUAGGUGCAGCCUCUAUGGCAGAUGAGCCACGCGGGCCUCUUUGGAGCUCAAUUCUCACCGA
Molecule: ribosomal RNA, 3267 nt
Filed under: Durio zibethinus
Lineage: Eukaryota; Viridiplantae; Streptophyta; Magnoliopsida; Malvales; Malvaceae
Description: eukaryotic LSU rRNA
Rfam family: Eukaryotic large subunit ribosomal RNA
Source: RNAcentral